This 481-nucleotide ribosomal RNA is filed under the name uncultured bacterium. RNAcentral's name for it is "partial 16S ribosomal RNA". It matches the Rfam family "Bacterial small subunit ribosomal RNA", at positions 28 to 507 of the family's 1533-position model. The record is from RNAcentral.
GAUGAACGCUGGCGGCGUGCUUAACACAUGCAAGUCGAACGAAGCACUUUAUUUGAUUUCCUUCGGGACUGAUUAUUUUGUGACUGAGUGGCGGACGGGUGAGUAACGCGUGGGUAACCUGCCUUGUACAGGGGGAUAACAGUUGGAAACGGCUGCUAAUACCGCAUAAGCGCACGGCAUCGCAUGAUGCAGUGUGAAAAACUCCGGUGGUAUAAGAUGGACCCGCGUUGGAUUAGCUAGUUGGUGAGGUAACGGCCCACCAAGGCGACGAUCCAUAGCCGAGAGGGGGGGGGGACAGGCAACAUUGGAACGAAGCCACGGACAAACCCCGGAGGGGAGGCAGCGGGGGGGAAUAUAGCAAAAGGGGCGAAGGCGUAACAACGCCCCGCGGGGGGAGAAAGAAAGUUUUUGGUUAUAAAAAGCUCUAUCAGAAGGAAAGAUAAGGACGGUACCUGACAAAGAAGCACCGGCAAAAUACGUG